CUGGGAUUUUGUCUUUUAAGAGCAGCCUGGUCCUGUCUGCUGCAGAGCCUUUUGUCUCGCUAACCUGGAUCCUGACGGGCGCGACAAAAGGUUCUGCGGCUGCGCUGGGGAGACCUCGGCCCUGAGCACUGGCACAGUGCCUGAGGAGGCCUUUACCAGGGCUCUGGGGUUUGGGGGGGUUCCUUCUGACGUGUUUUCUAAGUUCCUUCUGUCCUGAACAAUGAAUUGGUCGGGACAAGCUCAGAAGACAGCUAGGCUCUACAUCCAUUCAAGGCAGGAAAAUAAACUUGCUGCACAGGGUGAGGACAGACCACUGGGAAAGAGAGCCUCUCUCUGGCUGGUGUCAGGUCGAGGCCUAUCAGAAACCUGCUCAAGUUCUCGCGAGAAGACUUGAAGCGAGCGCUCUGAUUGGCCCCAGGCGUGGGGCUUUGGGAACCGUUUUGCCACCGUUCCUGAAGUUUCUGUUGAACCGUCCCACCCACUUUUCCCGCGGCUUCGUCGCACCUUAAUCUCUUGCCUCAGACUCGCUCUGGGUCUGUGGCUUCUGGGAGCCCGCUGAGGGGUCUGGGCGGCGCUCUCACCUGUCCAGCACAGGUUCGUCCUGCCCAGUGCUCACAGCCCCAAACCUGAGCCCGUUCAGCAGGCUCCUCCGCUUCCACCCGAUGGACGGAGCUCUUCGCUGCUUCCGGUUCUCCCGGCACCGUUAGUAGACAUCAGAAGAGAGAAGACUACAAGUGUAGGUUGGGCCGCUUGUAAAGGCCAGGCAGCCAAGGCAAAAUGACAUCCUCCCGGGCAAGGUCGUCACUCUGAGGAGAGUCAUUGUCCCCACCUCCGUCGCACGUUGGAAGCAGAGGCAGCCCAGAGUCCGAGCCGGGGGUUUCUGAGUCGCCUCAAGCUCUGCCCCACGAGGACAGGAAACCUUUGCCAGGACCUCACCUUACAGAAUCUCACCUUUCCUGCUUUGGUGGAGAAACUACCACAAAGCAAGGAACCAAGAGAGGCUUCCAACCACAGCCAGUAGGACAUUGGAACCAUCAUCCCAGCAGCCUUGAGGAACAGACUCCUCCAAAAGUGCAGACAUAACAUGGAUGCAUGUUCUUCUCCACUAGACCCUUCAGAUGAAGCCCCUUGGCUGCACUUCCUGAAGGGCUCUAAAGCAGGAAAAGUAGCUGGAUCUUGCCUGGAUUCCUAACUCGUCAAAACUUUGAGAUAAUAAAUGUAUGUAUUUUUAAGCCACUAAAUUUUAAAGUACUCAUUACAACACAUAAGAUAACUAAUACAUCCCUAAAUCCCUGUAACUUUGGUAUAAGAUAUAGUAGACCAGGAACCAAGCUCACCUUCCUCAAAUACGGUAGCAGAGUGUCUGACAACAUCCCUGAACACAUUGCCCUCAUGUUUGAAGACUGUUCCUUAUACUUCAAAAAUAAAAUGUGUCGCUGAGUCACGCGAAAGACGCCGAAUCAGCCCGCUGCAGACAGGCAGGCCUGUGCACACCCUACCGAGGUCCUGAGUCACGCAGAAGACGCCGAAUCACCCCACUGCAGACAGGCAGCCACCUGAUUCCACAUUACCAAGGCGCAGAGGACACCAGACCACCAGACCAAGGAAGAACCUGGUAUCUAACUCCAGAAGGAGAGGUGAACAACCCAGAACUCCGUAACGUUAAAGUUGAGAAGCCACUUUUAGACAUAGGCUACGUAACAUUUUGGCAUAGCCAGCCUGGAGGAAAGCUCAGGCUGGAGAUACAGCAGACUGUUCUCAAGGUGUGCAGGGAGCUGUUUGCUACUUUUCUAGCCAUGGGGAAUGAAGGAAGGGAAUGUACACUUUUGUCUUUCUAGCUGCUGCUGUUCACUCUGUAGGUCCCAAGACAAGCAGAUGGGAGAUCUAUUGGAUCUCACCACCAACAGAUUGACAUUGACCCUAGGCCACACUCUCAAUGAGUGGGAAAGUUUUGAUGAUCCUGACAAUCUAAAACAGGAGCAGCUCGGGCUGGGGAUUUAGGUCAGUGGGGCUGCAGCUGCCUUGCAAGCACAAGGUCCUGAGUUCUAUCCCCAGUACCAAAAAAUAAAAUAAAAUAGGAGCAGCUUAUCUAUUAUUGCAAUACAGUAUGAACUGGGAGGUGUUGAGCGAUUGAUACAGGAUGGUACUUUAAAUUAUGAGACUAUUCUCCAGUUAUAGUAUUUCUGCU
RNAcentral lists this long non-coding RNA (2188 nucleotides) under Heterocephalus glaber (naked mole-rat). Its description in RNAcentral is "lncRNA (ENSHGLG00100049769.1)". The record is from RNAcentral. Lineage: Eukaryota; Metazoa; Chordata; Mammalia; Rodentia; Bathyergidae.